Molecule: transfer RNA, 91 nt
Filed under: Wolbachia endosymbiont of Litomosoides brasiliensis
Lineage: Bacteria; Pseudomonadati; Pseudomonadota; Alphaproteobacteria; Rickettsiales; Anaplasmataceae
Description: tRNA-Ser
Rfam family: tRNA
About the family: Transfer RNA (tRNA) molecules are approximately 80 nucleotides in length. Their secondary structure includes four short double-helical elements and three loops (D, anti-codon, and T loops).
Source: RNAcentral
GGAAGGGUGGCCGAGCGGCUGAAGGCGGCGGUUUGCUAAACCGUUAUACGAUUGAAAAGUCGUAUCGAGGGUUCGAAUCCCUCUCCUUCCA